GGGUUGUGAGGUUAAGCGAAUAAGCGUACACGGUGGAUGCCUAGGCAAUCAGAGGCGAUGAAGGACGUGCUAAUCUGCGAAAAGCGUCGG
RNAcentral lists this ribosomal RNA (90 nucleotides) under Proteus mirabilis. RNAcentral describes it as "partial 23S ribosomal RNA". It matches the Rfam family "Bacterial large subunit ribosomal RNA", at positions 1 to 81 of the family's 2925-position model. The record is from RNAcentral. Lineage: Bacteria; Pseudomonadati; Pseudomonadota; Gammaproteobacteria; Enterobacterales; Morganellaceae.